CCCAGUAACGGCGAGUGAAGCGGCAACAGCUCAAAUUUGAAAUCUGGCCCCCAGGGCCCGAGUUGUAAUUUGCAGAGGAUGCUUUUGGCGCGGUGCCUUCCGAGUUCCCUGGAACGGGACGCCAUAGAGGGUGAGAGCCCCGUCUGGUCGGACACCAAGCCAGUGUAAAGCUCCUUCGACGAGUCGAGUAGUUUGGGAAUGCUGCUCUAAAUGGGAGGUAUAUGUCUUCUAAAGCUAAAUACCGGCCAGAGACCGAUAGCGCACAAGUAGAGUGAUCGAAAGAUGAAAAGCACUUUGAAAAGAGGGUUAAACAGUACGUGAAAUUGUUGAAAGGGAAGCGUUUGUGACCAGACUUGGGCCCGGUGAAUCAUCCAGCGUUCUCGCUGGUGCACUUCGCCGGGCCCAGGCCAGCAUCAGUUCGCCGCGGGGGAUAAAAGCUUCGGGGAACGUGGCUCCCUCGGGAGUGUUAUAGCCCGUUGCAUAAUACCCUGCGGCGGACUGAGGUUCGCGCUCCGCAAGGAUGCUGGCGUAAUGGUCAUCAGCGACCCGUCUUGAAACACGGACCAAGGAGUCGUCUUCGUAUGCGAGUGUUCGGGUGUCAAACCCCUACGCGUAAUGAAAGUGAACGCAGGUGAGAGCUUCGGCGCAUCAUCGACCGAUCCUGAUGUUCUCGGAUG
Molecule: ribosomal RNA, 677 nt
Filed under: Tolypocladium sp. RG-2013a
Lineage: Eukaryota; Fungi; Ascomycota; Sordariomycetes; Hypocreales; Ophiocordycipitaceae
Description: eukaryotic LSU rRNA
Rfam family: Eukaryotic large subunit ribosomal RNA
Source: RNAcentral